This 229-nucleotide ribosomal RNA is filed under the name uncultured bacterium. RNAcentral describes it as "partial 16S ribosomal RNA". It matches the Rfam family "Bacterial small subunit ribosomal RNA", at positions 568 to 796 of the family's 1533-position model. The record is from RNAcentral.
UGCGUAGGCGGAAGAAUAAGUCAGUGGUGAAAUCCUGCAGCUCAACUGUAGAACUGCCAUUGAAACCAUUUUUCUUGAGUAUAGUUGAGGUGGGCGGAAUGUGUCAUGUAGCGGUGAAAUGCUUAGAUAUGACACAGAACACCGAUUGCGUAGGCAGCUCACUAAACUAUCACUGACGCUGAGGCACGAAAGCGUGGGGAGCGAACAGGAUUAGAUACCCUGGUAGUCC